RNAcentral lists this ribosomal RNA (439 nucleotides) under uncultured bacterium. Its description in RNAcentral is "partial 16S ribosomal RNA". It matches the Rfam family "Bacterial small subunit ribosomal RNA", at positions 339 to 795 of the family's 1533-position model. The record is from RNAcentral.
CUACGGGUUGCUCCAGUGAGGAAUAUUGCACAAUGGGGGGAACCCUGAUGCAGCAACGCCGCGUGGAGGAUGACGCAUUUCGGUGUGUAAACUCCUUUUAUAUGUCAAGAAAAUGACGGUAGCAUAUGAAUAAGCACCGGCUAACUCCGUGCCAGCAGCCGCGGUAAUACGGAGGGUGCAAGCGUUACUCGGAAUCACUGGGCGUAAAGGACGCGUAGGCGGGUUGGAAAGUCAGGUGUGAAAUCCUACAGCUUAACUGUAGAACUGCACUUGAAACUUCUAAGCUGGAGUAUGGGAGGGGGAGAUGGAAUUAGUGGUGUAGGGGUAAAAUCCGUAGAUAUCACUAGGAAUACCUAAAGCGAAGGCGAUCUCCUGGAACAUUACUGACGCUAAGGCGUGAAAGCGUGGGGAGCAAACAGGAUUAGAUACCCCAGUAGUC